Molecule: ribosomal RNA, 1416 nt
Filed under: uncultured Campylobacterota bacterium
Lineage: Bacteria; Pseudomonadati; Campylobacterota
Description: bacterial SSU rRNA
Rfam family: Bacterial small subunit ribosomal RNA
Source: RNAcentral
CGCUGGCGGCGUGCUUAACACAUGCAAGUCGAACGGUAACAGAGAGUAGCUUGCUACUUUGCUGACCAGUGGCGCACGGGUGAGUAAUAUAUAGAUAAUGUGCCUUUUAGUUCAGGAUAGCCAUUGGAAACGAUGAUUAAUACUGAAUACUCCUUCUUAUUAUAAGAUAAGUCGGGAAAGUUUUUCGCUAAAAGAUCGGUCUAUAUCCCAUCAGCUUGUUGGUAGUGUAAGAGACUACCGAGGCAAUGACGGGUAGCGGGUUUGAGAGGAUGAUCCGCCACACUGGUACUGAGACACGGACCAGACUCCUACGGGAGGCAGCAGUGAGGAAUAUUGCACAAUGGAGGAAACUCUGAUGCAGCAACGCCGCGUGGAGGAUGACGCAUUUCGGUGUGUAAACUCCUUUUAUAAGGGAAGAAAAUGACGGUACCUUAUGAAUAAGCACCGGCUAACUCCGUGCCAGCAGCCGCGGUAAUACGGAGGGUGCAAGCGUUAUUCGGAAUCACUGGGCGUAAAGGACGCGUAGGCGGGAAGCCAAGUCUGAUGUGAAAUCCUAUGGCUUAACCAUAGAACUGCAUUGGAAACUGGUUACCUAGAGUAUGGGAGGGGGAGAUGGAAUUAGUGGUGUAGGGGUAAAAAUCCGUAGAUAUCACUAGGAAUACCGAAAGCGAAGGCGAUCUCCUGGAACAUAACUGACGCUAAGGCGUGAAAGCGUGGGGAGCAAACAGGGAUUAGAUACCCUGGUAGUCCACGCCCUAAACGAUGUUCACUAGUCGUCGGGAUGCUAGUCAUCUUCGGUGAUGCACUUUAACAGAUUAAGUGAACCGCCCUGGGGAGUACGGUCGCAAGAUUAAAACUCAAAGGAAUAGACGGGGACCCGCACAAGUGGUGGAGCAUGUGGUUUAAUUCGAAGAUACGCGAAGAACCUUACCUAGCCUUGACAUUGAAGAAACACUUUAGAGAUAGAGUGGUGCCCUUCGGGGAAUCUGAAAACAGGUGCUGCACGGCUGUCGUCAGCUCGUGUCGUGAGAUGUUGGGUUAAGUCCCGCAACGAGCGCAACCCUCGUCCUUAGUUGCUAGCAGUUCGGCUGAGCACUCUAAGGAGACUGCCUUCGUAAGGAGGAGGAAGGUGAGGACGACGUCAAGUCAUCAUGGCCCUUAUGGCUAGGGCUACACACGUGCUACAAUGGGGCGUACAGAGUGUUGCGAUACCGCGAGGUGGAGCUAAUCACUUAAAGCGUCUCUCAGUUCGGAUUGGAGUCUGCAACUCGACUCCAUGAAGCUGGAAUCACUAGUAAUCGUAGAUCAGCAAUGCUACGGUGAAUACGUUCCCGGGUCUUGUACUCACCGCCCGUCACACCAUGGGAGUUGAUUUCACCCGAAAUCGGGAAGCGAACCUUCGGGGCGCUACCGCUU